GACGAACGCUGUUUGCGUGCUUAACACAUGCAAGUCGAACGGAAAGGCCCUGCUUUUGUGGGGUGCUCGAGUGGCGAACGGGUGAGUAACACGUGAGUAACCUGCCCUUGACUUUGGGAUAACUUCAGGAAACUGGGGCUAAUACCGGAUAGGAGCUCCUGCUGCAUGGUGGGGGUUGGAAAGUUUCGGCGGUUGGGGAUGGACUCGCGGCUUAUCAGCUUGUUGGUGGGGUAGUGGCUUACCAAGGCUUUGACGGGUAGCCGGCCUGAGAGGGUGACCGGGCACAUUGGGACUGAGAUACGGCCCAGACUCCUACGGGAGGCAGCAGUGGGGAAUAUUGCACAAUGGGCGGAAGCCUGAUGCAGCAACGCCGCGUGCGGGAUGACGGCCUUCGGGUUGUAAACCGCUUUCGCCUGUGACGAAGCGUGAGUGACGGUAAUGGGUAAAGAAGCACCGGCUAACUACGUGCCAGCAGCCGCGGUGAUACGUAGGGUGCGAGCGUUGUCCGGAUUUAUUGGGCGUAAAGGGCUCGUAGGUGGUUGAUCGCGUCGGAAGUGUAAUCUUGGGGCUUAACCCUGAGCGUGCUUUCGAUACGGGUUGACUUGAGGAAGGUAGGGGAGAAUGGAAUUCCUGGUGGAGCGGUGGAAUGCGCAGAUAUCAGGAGGAACACCAGUGGCGAAGGCGGUUCUCUGGGCCUUUCCUGACGCUGAGGAGCGAAAGCGUGGGGAGCGAACAGGCUUAGAUACCCUGGUAGUCCACGCUGUAAACGGUGGGUACUAGGUGUGGGGUCCAUUCCACGGGUUCCGUGCCGUAGCUAACGCUUUAAGUACCCCGCCUGGGGAGUACGGCCGCAAGGCUAAAACUCAAAGGAAUUGACGGGGCCCCGCACAAGCGGCGGAGCAUGCGGAUUAAUUCGAUGCAACGCGUAGAACCUUACCUGGGUUUGACAUGGAUCGGGAGUGCUCAGAGAUGGGUGUGCCUCUUUUGGGGUCGGUUCACAGGUGGUGCAUGGCUGUCGUCAGCUCGUGUCGUGAGAUGUUGGGUUAAGUCCCGCAACGAGCGCAACCCUUGUUCACUGUUGCCAGCACGUUAUGGUGGGGACUCAGUGGAGACCGCCGGGGUCAACUCGGAGGAAGGUGGGGAUGACGUCAAGUCAUCAUGCCCCUUAUGUCCAGGGCUUCACGCAUGCUACAAUGGCUGGUACAGAGAGUGGCGAGCCUGUGAGGGUGAGCGAAUCUCGGAAAGCCGGUCUCAGUUCGGAUUGGGGUCUGCAACUCGACCUCAUGAAGUCGGAGUCGCUAGUAAUCGCAGAUCAGCAACGCUGCGGUGAAUACGUUCCCGGG
RNAcentral lists this ribosomal RNA (1343 nucleotides) under uncultured bacterium. Its description in RNAcentral is "16S ribosomal RNA". It matches the Rfam family "Bacterial small subunit ribosomal RNA", at positions 28 to 1378 of the family's 1533-position model. The record is from RNAcentral.